AGAGUUUGAUCCUGGCUCAGAACGAACGCUGGCGGCGUGCCUAACACAUGCAAGUCGAGCGCGAAUGGAGCAAUCCUAGUAGAGCGGCGCACGGGUGCGUAACACGUGGAUAAUCUGCCUGGGUGUCUGGGAUAACCAGUCGAAAGAUUGGCUAAUACCGGAUAAGCCCCCGGGAGCUUCGGCUCUUGAGGGAAAAGGUGGCCUCUGUAUACAAGCUAUCACAUCCAGAUGAGUCCGCGGCCCAUCAGCUAGUUGGCGGGGUAAUGGCCCACCAAGGCAACGACGGGUAGCUGGUCUGAGAGGACGAUCAGCCACACUGGAACUGAGACACGGUCCAGACUCCUACGGGAGGCAGCAGUGGGGAAUUUCGCGCAAUGGGCGAAAGCCUGACGCAGCAACGCCGCGUGUGUGAUGAAGGUCUUCGGAUUGUAAAGCACUUUCGACCGGGACGAAAACCCUGAGGCUAACAUCCUCAGGCUUGACGGUACCGGGAGAAGAAGCACCGGCUAACUCUGUGCCAGCAGCCGCGGUAAUUC
This 536-nucleotide ribosomal RNA is filed under the name uncultured bacterium. RNAcentral describes it as "bacterial SSU rRNA". It matches the Rfam family "Bacterial small subunit ribosomal RNA", at positions 8 to 526 of the family's 1533-position model. The record is from RNAcentral.